AUUGAACGCUGGCGGCAUGCUUUACACAUGCAAGUCGAACGGUAACAGGGAGCUUGCUCCGCUGACGAGUGGCGAACGGGUGAGUAAUAUAUCGGAACGUGCCCAAGAGUGGGGGAUAACGUAGCGAAAGUUACGCUAAUACCGCAUACGAUCCAAGGAUGAAAGCAGGGGACCGCAAGGCCUUGUGCUCCUGGAGCGGCCGAUAUCUGAUUAGCUAGUUGGUGAGGUAAAGGCUCACCAAGGCGACGAUCAGUAGCUGGUCUGAGAGGACGACCAGCCACACUGGGACUGAGACACGGCCCAGACUCCUACGGGAGGCAGCAGUGGGGAAUUUUGGACAAUGGGCGCAAGCCUGAUCCAGCAAUGCCGCGUGAGUGAAGAAGGCCUUCGGGUUGUAAAGCUCUUUUGUCAGGGAAGAAACGGUCGUGGCUAAUAUCCACGGCUAAUGACGG
Molecule: ribosomal RNA, 452 nt
Filed under: uncultured bacterium
Lineage: Bacteria
Description: bacterial SSU rRNA
Rfam family: Bacterial small subunit ribosomal RNA
Source: RNAcentral